Neofelis nebulosa (Clouded leopard) is the source of this 1989-nucleotide long non-coding RNA. RefSeq lists it as uncharacterized. NCBI's taxonomy places the organism in Eukaryota, Metazoa, Chordata, Mammalia, Carnivora, Felidae. The record is from RefSeq and is a predicted model, not a curated record. The transcript is spliced from 4 exons.
ACUGUGGAAUGCAGCGUGGCAGUAACUGAAAAGGUGACGCAAGGGCUGGGACCACGUGACCCAGCAACCCCACGGCCGGUGUCCACCCAAGAACAAAACACACGUCGGCACAGAAUCCUGUAGUGAACGUUCACAGCAGCAUCGUUCGUAACACCCCCAAAGGGGAAACAACCAAAAUACCCAUCGACUGAUGAACAGUUACACACGGUGUGUUCCCCACGCGUGGGGACGCGAUCAGCCAGGAGCCGGAGCGAGGCGCCCACCCCCGCUGCCCCAAGGACGGACCCCGAACACGCGACGCUCAGGGAGGGAACCAGACACGAGAGGCCACGCGGGGUGUCACGAUCUCAGGCCUCAUGGGUUCAAGCCCCGCGUCAGGCUCUGUGCUGACGGCUCGGAGCCUGGAGCCUGCUUCGGACUCUGAGUCGCCCCUUCUCUCAGCCACUCCCCCACUUGUGCUCUCUCUCAAAAGGACGAAUGGACCUGCCAGACCACAGGGAACCGGUCUGCUUUCUCUCAAGGAUUCUAAUCUCCCUGAACGCCCCAGGCCUUUUGGAAGAAGGAACCAGGAGUCUAAGUUCAUGUCUCCCCCUCCGCCAGAGGCCCUUUUCAGUCGUGGCGCUCAGUUUCUUCAGCUACAAAAUGGGCUGACCAAGGGAGAGGGCAGGUCAGGAUGACCGCAGCGAGGGACCACUAAAGGUUAAUCUAACCGCACGGAACGAGGUACGCACACAGAACAUGCCACACUGAGCUGGGUACAAAGAGAUGGCCACGUUUUGGAGAUCUGGCCGUCUUCCGACAAAGCACAAGCUUUAAGGGUAAAAGCAGCGCCUUCGGAGACACAGAGCAGAUCGUUUCCUAACCCGUCCACGAAGGCCUGGCCCAUCGGGCCCCGGCAAGCGACAAACUAACCCAGACCAAGGCCGACACACCUUUUCUGUACAGGAUCACACGGUAAAUAUUCCCACCUACAUUCUCGAGCUCGACUCUCUAUUCUCGGGCUCGAGCCGACAGAGGCGAUCUGUCCAGGCACGCCGCACUCUGUGUGCCGAUAAAACUUUACUUGCAAAAACAGGCAGAGGGGCCAGAUCGUUCCACCGACCAGUUAGCUGACCCCACCGCCAGAUGGCUCAAGCCUACCCCUUAAGCAACAAAACCUUUUCUUCACCUCUCCUACGGGGGACCUGAGUUCCACUGCCCGCCUCCCUGAUUUCCCAAAUCACGAAAGAGCAGAAAAAGCCACACCCCGGCCCACGCUUGGCCCAAUUAGCUACACGGCCUUGGAGCCCAACACUGAACACGAGGUAGCCAUUCUCGGGGCACCAGGGAAAGCCACCGUGGGAUGGCCAGAGGCACACAGGACUGUUCGCCCCACACUGGCCAACCCCCUGCCGCCGGUCACCCCUCACAGGCCACACCCGCUCUGUAGAUGUGAGCCGGGAGGUGAUGAGGUUGUUCGAUCUCUUACGAGCCCACCAUUGGCCCACCAUCUGAGGCCACCUCUUUAAAACCCUCUGUCCCGGGUUUAUUAGGAAAGUACAGGAGGAGGCAGAAUGCCCGGAGUGAACACCCACAGCAGCUGGGCAAUGCGAUUCUUUUCAAGGGCGUGCUUUCGGGUGAACGUGCCCCUGGAUGAGCCAGGUCCUGAUCCACACGACGCAGAUGGGGCAGCUUAAGCGGGGCGAUGCCCGCGUCCCCCGAAAUGAGCCAUGGCGAGGCGCAGCACUGUCACUCGGACGCCGAAGGACGGGAGCGCAAACGGGAGCACCGGACUAGAGGAGGAGCGGCCACCAGAGCCACCCCGAGGGUUCUGGGCUCCUCUGUGCAAAGGCUCCCGGGCCCCGGACACCCCUGAACUCAGGGCCCAACAGCAGCCGCCUUCUCCCAGCAGCGUGCGUGCAGGCCUGACGGGCUGCCCCGGGGGGAGCCGCGGCCUUCAGUGCCUCGCUCUCCUGUGGCCACCUGGGCCUAGGGCCCGAGCACUUACUU